UGAGGAAUAUUGGUCAAUGGGCGCAAGCCUGAACCAGCCAUCCCGCGUGCAGGAAGACGGCGCUAUGCGUUGUAAACUGCUUUUCCAGGGAGAAAAACUUGGGCACGUGUUGCGCAAUUGACGGUACCCUGGGAAUAAGCAUCGGCUAACUCCGUGCCAGCAGCCGCGGUAAUACGGAGGAUGUGAGCGUUAUCCGGAUUCAUUGGGUUUAAAGGGUGCGUAGGCGGACUAUUAAGUCAGUGGUGAAAUCCUGCAGCUUAACUGCAGAACUGCCAUUGAUACUGAUAGCCUUGAGUUUGGUUAAGGUAGGCGGAAUGUGUAAUGUAGCGGUGAAAUGCUUAGAUAUUACACGGAACACCAAUUGCGUAGGCAGCUUACUGAGCCGACACUGACGCUGAGGCACGAAAGCGUGGGGAU
Molecule: ribosomal RNA, 417 nt
Filed under: uncultured bacterium
Lineage: Bacteria
Description: bacterial SSU rRNA
Rfam family: Bacterial small subunit ribosomal RNA
Source: RNAcentral